AGCUCCAAUAGCGUAUAUUAAAGUUGUUGCAGUUAAAAAGCUCGUAGUUGAAUUUCUGGUGGGAGUGUACAGUCCGACACUGAGUGUUGGUUCUUGUAUGUCUCCGGCCAUCCUUGGAGUGAAUCUGUCUGGCAUUCAGUUGUUGGGCAGAGUAUCUCCAUCGUUUACUGUGAGGAAAUGAAAGUGUUCAAAGCAGGCUUACGCCGUUGAAUCUUUUAGCAUGGAAUAAUAAGAUAGGAUCUUGAUACUAUUUUGUUGGUUUGCGUGUUAAGAUAAUGAUGAAUAGGGACAGUUGGGGGUAUUUGUAUUCCAUAGUCAGAGGUGAAAUUCUUGGAUUUAUGGAAGACAAACUAAUGCGAAAGCAUCUACCAAGGAUGUUUUCA
Molecule: ribosomal RNA, 383 nt
Filed under: uncultured eukaryote
Lineage: Eukaryota
Description: SSU rRNA
Rfam family: Eukaryotic small subunit ribosomal RNA
Source: RNAcentral